AUGCCAAGAGAAAGGAUGGUCCCAGAGCUGGAGCUUCAGGGAGAUGUGGAGUACAAAAAGGAAGAUCCAAAACAAGCAAAUCAUCACCAACCUCCAAGGAGUCAAGGAGACGUGCUGGUGGAUAGCUGGUGUCUCUCCUCCGUGUCCUCGCAAGGGAUCCUGGACUGGGCACUUGGAACACACAUCUUGAUGCCUGCUGAUGGCCUGGCUGCUUGGACACGGAGUUUUGGAAACUCAAGGGAGGAGGACACAUGGAAGACUGAUGCUCAGGUGCGGAGCGAGCAGGAGUCAGGAUCUCCCUGUGCAUUGCCACUGAUGGUGUUUACAGAUCUGUGUUCUGCAGUUGAAUCCAGCUUGAGAGGCCAUCACCACAUGAAACAGGUAAAGGGCAGUGGCUGCAUAUUUAAAGGAAACAUAACAAAACAAGAAAAAAGUCUGUUUUUCACAGCUUGCAGGUUGCUGUUAAGUAGUUACUCCUGUCCAUGGCAGUUGCUGGAGCUCAGAGACCACCACAGACAUGCAGUUGCCAGGGUCUGAAGGGUGAAAUUCCUGUGUCUCAGUCUCCAAAUUCUUCAAAUAGUCCCUCCAAUUUUUAUGUUUUCAUAAAGGCAUGGCCUGCUGCCGGGUGACCUGGAAGAGGCAUCACAGUGCUUUGUCAGCACACUCGCCUCACUGCAGAAGCUAAG
Molecule: long non-coding RNA, 686 nt
Filed under: Parus major (Great Tit)
Lineage: Eukaryota; Metazoa; Chordata; Aves; Passeriformes; Paridae
Description: lncRNA (ENSPMJG00000009334.1)
Source: RNAcentral